CUCCAGCUCCACUUCCGAAGGCACACCCUCCGUCUUCCUCCUCCUACCCCUGACAUGACUGUGAUCACCUCUGUCAUCUCUGGAUGCCUCACUGGCUGGCAUGCAGGUGAUUAACCUCCCUGACCGCUAGAGGGCGAGCUUAAUGUCAAGCGCUGGUGCGAGCCUGCUGACUACACAAAGCUGGAUGCUUCUUGCUGAGACAACCAGGACACUCUUAGUAACUACGGGAGACAGCGGGUGUAACCAGGGGUGUUGGGGUCGGUUCCGUGCGGCCAGCUCCCUCCUGCAGAGCGGACAGGGCAGGGCAGCACAGCCUGCACGCGGGAAUCCUUUCACCCCAGCGCUGAUUACAGCGCACCCCUCCGGGGUCGGGACGAGGCCCGGCAAACAGCUGCGAGCGGCGCCUUCGGGAGCAGAGUUCCAGAAGCUUCAGCGAGUCACAUCUGCACAGAUGAGUGGCAUGAUAAUCCAGACCAUUUUCAAACUCCCUCCGUAGGCAAGGAACUCAAACAAGCAAGACAGCGCGAAGACAAAGCUGAAUUUUUGUGUAUGGUGAAUGCUUCUGCCCAGACGGUGCUUCGUUAAAAAGUGGUGUGUACACCUGUGAUCACAGCAUUCAGUAAGCUAAGACAGAAAAAUUGGAGAGAAUCUGAGACCAGCCUGGACUACACGGUGAGAAUGGUCUUGAAGAGGAGGGGUAAAAGGAGAAAAGAAAGGCACAGG
Molecule: long non-coding RNA, 723 nt
Filed under: Cricetulus griseus (Chinese hamster)
Lineage: Eukaryota; Metazoa; Chordata; Mammalia; Rodentia; Cricetidae
Description: lncRNA (ENSCGRG00015032439.1)
Source: RNAcentral